UACGAAGGGGGCUAGCGUUGCUCGGAAUCACUGGGCGUAAAGGGUGCGUAGGCGGGUCUUUAAGUCAGGGGUGAAAUCCUGGAGCUCAACUCCAGAACUGCCUUUGAUACUGGGAGUCUCGAGUCCGAGAGAGGUGAGUGGAACUGCGAGUGUAGAGGUGAAAUUCGUAGAUAUCGGGAGGAACACCGGUGGCGAAGGCGGCGAUCUGGGUCGAUACUGACGCUGAGGUGCGAAAGCGUGGGGAGCAAACAGG
This 253-nucleotide ribosomal RNA is filed under the name uncultured bacterium. Its description in RNAcentral is "partial 16S ribosomal RNA". It matches the Rfam family "Bacterial small subunit ribosomal RNA", at positions 524 to 776 of the family's 1533-position model. The record is from RNAcentral.